UUAGGUGACGAUAGCGUAGGAAAUAAACCUGUACCCAUGCCGAACACAGAAGUUAGGCCGUAGAACGCCGGAAGUAGUUGGGGGUUGCCCCCUGUGAGAUAGGGAAGUCGUUUAGC
RNAcentral lists this ribosomal RNA (116 nucleotides) under Streptococcus pneumoniae. The record is from RNAcentral. Lineage: Bacteria; Bacillati; Bacillota; Bacilli; Lactobacillales; Streptococcaceae.